GAGUUUGAUCGUGGCUCAGAGCGAACGUUAGCGGCACGCCUAACACAUGCAAGUCGCACGAGAAGGGGGCAACCCCUGAAAGUGGCGCACGGGUGCGUAACACGUAGAUAACCUGCCCUGAAGAGGGGGAGUAACGUUCCGAAAGGAGCGCUAAUACCGCAUAACGCUGCGAGUGGUUUGCCACUUGCGGACAAAGGUAGGGACCGGCAACGGCCUAUCGCUUCAGGAGGGGUCUGCGGCCCAUCAGCUAGUUGGCGAGGUAAUGGCUCACCAAGGCAGAGACGGGUAGCUGGUCUGAGAGGAUGAUCAGCCACACUGGUACUGGAACACGGACCAGACUCCUACGGGAGGCAGCAGUGGGGAAUCUUGGUCAAUGGGCGCAAGCCUGAACCAGCGAUGCCGCGUGAGUGAUGAAGGCCUUCGGUUGU
RNAcentral lists this ribosomal RNA (428 nucleotides) under uncultured delta proteobacterium. RNAcentral's name for it is "bacterial SSU rRNA". It matches the Rfam family "Bacterial small subunit ribosomal RNA", at positions 9 to 426 of the family's 1533-position model. The record is from RNAcentral. Lineage: Bacteria; Deltaproteobacteria.